Non-coding RNA from Mus caroli (Ryukyu mouse), 6880 nucleotides. NCBI's taxonomy places the organism in Eukaryota, Metazoa, Chordata, Mammalia, Rodentia, Muridae. The record is from RefSeq and is a predicted model, not a curated record.
UGGCCUUGAACUCAGAAAUCCACCUGCCUCUGCCUCCCAAGUGCUGAGAUUAAAGGCGUGAGCCACCACUGUACAGCAUAUAUCAGAUGUUUUUAAUUACCAAUCAUAACAGUUAUGAAAUAGGAACUAAGUAAUUUUAUGGUUGGGUGUGUCACGAGAAUGUGUGGAACUGAAUUAAAGUGUCACAGCAUGAGGAAAGUUGAAGACCACUGCUCUAAGCUAAAGACAAAGUUAAAGUCCAAUGUUUUCUCUGAACACUUUUUAAAAUCAUAUGUUCUUUCUCCUAUUGUCCCCCAUGGUCCUGUGCGAGCGAGCUGAUGGAAUUCUUAAUGGCAGAUUUCCCUCUGGUCUGUCUCUGUCGGGAUCCCGGAGGAUGAUCUGGGGCUGGAUUCUCCAUGGUCGGGGCUCCGUGGUGCUUCUCUCACAGGAACCUGGACCCAAGUGAUCUCAAAGGUUUGCAGUGUGGACAGAUCCUGGGAUGCCAUAGCAACAAUUCAGAGCUCAUGGUGACUUGAUAUCUUCGGCUUUGAUCCUUCAGUGGGAACCUGAUGAUAGAAAAGCUGACUUAACUGAUGGCACAAGUAUACUCUGAACCAGGACCCACUUCAAUCUCCACUGUGACAGCUUGAGUCCUGCUGACUGAGAGGCGGCAUUUUGAUCUUCCUCGCUUACCACUUGUAGAGAGCUGACCUAAGUGAUGUGAGAAGUUUGCUGUGAUGGACAGUUUCUGGGUGCCUUGCCAACAAUCCAGAGUACAUGGUGACAUGUCAACUCCAGCUGUGAUCCUCCUGGGUGGCACUGACUUAUAGAAAUGGCGACCCAACAGAUGGUACCAGCACACUGAGAUAUCGAACCACACCACUGUGACAUCUCAGAGCUUUGCUGACCAAGAGGCAACAUCUUGAUCUUCCUUGCCCACCAGCCUGUAGGAACGUGACUCUAGUGAUGGUAGAGGUAUGGGGUGAUGGACAAUUCCCAGGAUGCCAUGGCAGCAGUCCAGAGCCCUUGGUGACUUGUCAACUCCAGCUCUGUUCCUCCUGUGGGCACCUGCUUAUAGAAAGGCUGACCUGGUGAUGGUGAAGCACCACCCCAACUCUGCAUGUCACAAGUCAACUUCUCUGUCCCUGUGGAGUCUGGUUCAAGGUCUUGACAGUGGCUGAUUGACUGACGUCAUCGCCAAAGUUUCCUGUUAUAGAGAGUUCCUCUGAUGUCACUUCAACACCACUACAACUGCGCCUCUGAGAGCUGAUUGCAGAAUUUCCUAUGUUUAAUGACUGCAUCAAGAAUGUGCACUCCUAGGUUGAUGUCUGCAUUUUCUAUGAUCAGCAGUGGAACAUUUGCAUCUCUGCAUUGGACUUGGGGCAGUGUGGACCAUGUGAGUAGAGAACCCUCCAAUGGUCAAGCUCUCUAUUUGCACCAGCUUGAGGAGACGAACAAGACCAGUAAUGGACUUUCCCAAGGUAUCUAUUCACCUCCAAUGGCUUCCAGUCCAUCAGUUGCUCAUGAUGAUGUGAGAUCUGCCCAAACUUCUCCUCAUAGUUUUGAUGGUUUGAGGAAGGUGUUUGCUGACUGGAGGAGGUCUCCAUGUCUAGGAUCUCCGCUGAUGUCAUGGGUGGUGCUGGGAUGACCGCUGUGAGUAAUCCCUUGGACUCUUUCUUCCCGUUUGGUGGUAUGCUUAGCAGAACUCAGUGUGUCACUGAAAACUGUGCUGUGGCAUUAAGAAUGAGUGUUUCAUACCAGGGAGUGCCACAGACAUGAAUGGAAGUUGUCAAAUUAUUAAUAAAACAUUGAGGAUGGUUAAUGAAGGCUAGAACACUUCCACACUGAUUAGGAAUAAGAUUUUUAGGGUUGUUGGAAUAAUAGGUGCUCAAAUUAUUAUUAGCUGAUCGUUGAACUAAUUAUCAGACAAUAGGAAAGGACUGCUUGGAAGAAGAAAGGAGCAGCCAUGAUUGAUACUGUGCUCUGUUGACAUAUGAGUCACAUGGAUGACUACAUGUCUGGAACUUUGAGAUCUACUAAAGAAGUAGUAUAAUCCUUUGUCUUCCUUUCCAGUGUUCCCGUAGAAAGACUACAGGCCUGGAUAAUUUCUUCAUUCCCCGCACCCUCCCUUGUUAUAAAUUCUAUUUUGUCUUUAUAAUUAUAUCAAUGUGAGAAUCAAGCAAUCAGUCUCAAAAAUAAGUGAAAAUGAAAUGGGUAAAUCAUUGCCGGAGCCAAGAAAUAGAUUAGUAUGUACAGAAUAUUUUUUUUUGCCACUGAUGACAUGGAACAUGUAAAUUACAAAGUCUGCAUUCUGAGACAGUUUGAAAAUUCCUUGUGUUUAAGCCACAAGAACAUUAAAUAUGCUCCAAAAAUGGUGGCCCUAGUGGCCAGUGGUAGGUGAGAAGUGAAGGCUAUUAAAGGGAAAGACUUGAUUCUGUUAUCUUCUCUGCUCAGUUGUCCCUAGGAUGGACGCACUGUAUGACAAGGGCAUCCUCCAUGAUUGGGGUCUCCUGUUUCUGCUGCACUGAUUCUGAAUAGUUUUGCUUAAGUUCAAAAAAAAAAGAUUCAAAAUUCUGUUUUGAAUGAUUUGCUUAAGAUUACUCAGUGCCUUAUGCAGCUAGGAGGCUUCCAUCUUUAGUCUCGCCCUUUAUAGACAGAGGCCUCUAGAAGUAGAUCUCUGAGUUUAAGGACAGUCUGAGCUACAAACCAAAUUCCAGAACAGCCAGAGCUCCACACAGACACAGACAAAAAGAAUAUUCACAUGAUUAGUGAAGACCACCUGUAUCCCAGUGAUUGAUCACUAAUGGAUAUUGAGUCUUCUAUUGAUUGUACUUUUAUGAAAACUUGAAUUAAUUACUAGCUAGUCUGAAGUUAUUCAUCUUCUUAUAAAAUAAAAGACUCCAACUGAGUCAAAAAGAUGCAAAACUAGAAUGGAGAGUGAGCAGGUCUUACAUCUCUCAUAUUCUGUCUGAUGUUUGUCCUCGAGUGAAGGAACGAUGUGACUGAAGAGUCUGCCAUGGUGAAGGGCUCUGUGCUUUCCCAAGAAGAAGUUCAUGUUGAAUGUAAGUUGAAGCCACCAUUCUUAUCUUAACAUAGUCACUGUACUAUUACACAAAAUGUGCACUAUACCUCACAAAUAGCCAGCCUUAUGCCAGUGACUGUUAAGGUGCUCUAUUAAUCAGACAUGCAUGAGCAGUAAAAGAUAAUUGAUAAAAGGAUAAGCCAAUGCUGUACUAGCCCUGUAUGCAAGUUAAGAGUAUGCAUAAGGUCUCUUCCUCCUAUGCUCUUCGUUGAGCUGGCAUUCAAUGGGAGAUGAUAACUUACUCAACAGACAGAUAAAUAAAGAAAUAAAGUCUUUGAUCAGUGAUGACUCUGUUGGUUUGGGGGUCAUGAAGGAGUGCAUAUGUGGAUUUCUCAGGUCCAACCUCAAAGAUGUAGUACAGUCACAUGAUCUGCUUGCUAAGAGUCAGUGACUGGAACAAAUUACAGUUUAGAGUUUGUUUUUAUGUAGUUUAUUGUACUUUUAUAAUGGGACCAUUGUGCGAAGUAGUUAACAAAUAAACAAAAAAAUAUAAACUAGGCAAUGUCAAAAUAAAAUACCUCAGUGGAUAUGAAAAUGAGUACAUGCUUUUACUUCUGUGGCUGUAAAUUUUUACUGUAUAAAUUAUUCAACUUUCUACUCCUGUGCAAAAAGGGAGUUCAAAUUUUUUUCAUUUUUCUUUUAGUAAAAAUAAAGUAAUUACUCUUUCAAUUAAUGAUUGUUAAGAAAAGGUGAAUGCAAUACUCAAUAGACAAGAAAAAUAGCAGUUUCAUUGUCAUGCAUUCUGUUUUUUUGCCCCUUAGAGUAGACUAAUGGGAAGAGAGUUCCUUAUUCACACCUGGAGUUUAAGGUAAGUAUUAGACAGCAUGCUUGUCUUUGUAGUUUUUUUAAAGUUGUAUUCAUAUAUGAUAACUACAUCACUAUUUAAAGGCAGAAGACCAUGUGUAGGCCAGUUUCUAAUGUGUGAUGGACAUGAAGCAUUCAUAUUCAUAUAAGUACAGUCACUUACAUGGAAAGAUGUGCCAUAUGAUGGUCAGACAGAAUUUGAGAAUAAUCUUAUAGCUGAUUAUAGCAAGAACAAAUCCAAUGACAGACCUCUUGGGUUUCUAUAAGCCAUACUACUCAAAAGAUGUCAAUGGUGAAUUAAUGAGUUAAUAACUACACAGGGGUAGUAGUGUAAAGAGCCCAGUUGUCAUCCUGGUUCAUCAAGACUCCCUGUGUCACCUGAAAGAUGAAUUUCUAUACAUACAUCUGGAGCUUAGGCCCACCACAGAGGAAUGUACCACCACCACCUCUAAAGUUAUAUUUUAGGCAGGGAUUUGGAAGAUAUAUGGGUUUUAUUUUUGAUUUUGUUAAAAUGUUUUUGAAACUAACACUAAAAGCAGUUCAAGGAAAGAAUCAGUUCAAUGAAAGAAUCAGAAAAAAUAUAGUUAUUAAUGUAUAGGGAUAAACCAUAUUCAACUAUAGCAAUAUUUUGCAUGGCAACUAGACAUUUCUACACACUAAUACCACUGCUGUGCACAAGGUAGAAGAUGAAUGACAGAAUCUAUUUCUGUGGCACAACUGAUCCUGUUUAUUUAUACAAAAGAAAUCAAAUAAAAGACAUCCCAAAUUGCCUAAAUGACUGACUAAUCAAAGAUCAAAUACAGAGACCAAUGCAAAUGAGGUGUCACAUCUCCUUUGCUCUGUAUUCCUGAAACAGCAUCGUGCUGACCCAUUUCUCUUUGGUCAGAUUUGUGGGUGGAUCUGUGUAUUGUCAAUGUAGAGAGCCCUGUGAAUAAUGUCAGUUAAGAUUGUGGUCUUGAUGUAAAAAGCCAUUCACACCAAAUUAUUUUUCAAAAUGUGACUUAGAAUCACUUAGGAGACAUUUUGACCUACCUCCAAAAAUGGGCUUAAUGUAAACCAUUAUUACAUUGAUUUUUCACAUAUGUACAGCAGUGAAUAUAUUACAGAGUACAGAGUAGAUAUAUUGUUAUGAUAGUAGUUAUGCAGAGGAUACUAAAGCUAUCCAAGGAUCACAAGUUUUUGUGAUUCUCAUGUGAUUAUUCAUAGUAAAUGAUCAUCAAUACAGGCACAUGGUCAAUAAAACCACAAAGACAUGAAUGAAGACUACAAGGAACAGCCUGAGCUCAGGAUGCUGAUGCUGGUAAUGCAAGAGUUAUAAACUUCAAAGAGUGUCUGGAACACGGGCUUAUUCCAACACGGUAGGAAUCUAGUUGCUCUUUCAGGAGAGAACAUCUGUAGAAGGUUCUAUGCCUGGAUCCUGGGUUAACUAGAAAGGAGUCCAUGAGAAUCAAUGAAUAGAAUAAAAGAGAUAAAUAGGACAGAGGAAGCCACACUCCAACCCCUAGCUCAUGUUUCACUGGAAGAACACUGAUAGCAUGUGAAGGGAUGAUAAAAGGACCAGCAGGCUUUGCUGUUUCCAGGGGUCAAUAGCUCCUGAUGACUAGGUGAGCGUAUUACGCUGGAAUCAUCGUGAGUUCAGAGCUCAUUUUGUCAUAUGGCAAAUACCCCAUCAUUAUCAGGAAUGACCCCUAAAGGCUCACUAGACACCAUCACAAAGUUUCAGAGUCUCUGUCAGCUUGGCAAUGAGCAACGUGAUUAUGGCUGUAUUAUCUUUGCCAGUGUCCUACAUGUCUGAAAAUAGUGAGUGUAUCAUUGUAAAGCAAGGCUAAAAAUCAAGAACUAACAAGAAAAAAACAUGGGGUUGGGGUUAGCAUUUUUUAAACAAGUUACAGUUUAUGCAUUUUAUCUUCUUCUAGUUCAAAAUUCCCAAUAUUUUAUUAAUUUUCUGAUAAUUUAAUAUGUCUUUAAAUUUAUUUUCAUAUAUGCAUACUGUAUUUGCAUCAAUCUAUCCCUGCACCUAGGCAUUAUCAUUUGCAAAUGUCCUCUUUCUGUUCCGCAGGAAGUUGGACUACAGCCAAUCAAAACUAAAACAUGGCGGCAUUUGCUCUCUGGGGAGAGAUAAUAUCAUGGAAUGUAAGCAUAAAGUGCCCAGUGUGUGCCAUUAGCUCAUGGUUUCUAUUGGGUCAUCACAGAAGAUAACUGCAUAACUGUGAUGAUGCUAAUCUCUGAACCCAAAUUAAUUCCAUCUAGUAUGAAUGAAGUCUAAGACCAAAAAAAAAAAGAUUCCUUAAUUUUCAACAAUUGAAUCAACACCUGUGACAGAUGGUGGCUGCUGCUUAGGGAUUCAGGCAUGUGGCCAUGCAGUCUGACAGCGUGAUUGUUUUGGGGGAACACAUGAACCAAUAUGCCUGUGGCUGCUGAUGAGUGUUGAAUGCAUCUGAGGGGGAAUCCAUGAUCACUUUACACAGCUGAGGUCCAUCGCAUGAAAGAAAUCAGUAGGCAUACGUGAUGAUUAUGACUUCAGGAAAGUUGAAAAAUCUACCUGUGGAGUUCCCGUGGGCUCAUAGACAUUGAUUUUGCUCAGAGACUGAAUAAAUGUCUCGGUCAAUAAAGAUAUACAAGAGGGGGGAAAAUGAGCCCAGUAUGUGGACCAGUUUUAAGUCAAGGAGUAGUGUUUAAGUUCUGAAAUGUCUUGGUCCAUUUGGGUCGAAAUGCUAGGGCUUCCUUGUAUUUAACUCAUUAUGGGAAAAUAGUUAAGCAAACAUCUUUGGUAACCAAACAAAUGAGCACAGCAUGGAAAUUGCUACUGAAGCUGACUGGUGUUUCUCUGUGUUACUUUGUACUCAGUACAGUGGAUGCAUGCAGCUCCUCUCAUCAUGGAUACUUCAGGAUGAAGGUCGCAACACUCACUGCAUGGCUGGGCCAGUACAGACCUCAGUGAGUAAGAGACCAAGUUUCCUGCUUGCUCUUUCUCUUACGCUGAUCACUGUCUAUUUCAAAUUGACAUUAUGUGUC